Molecule: ribosomal RNA, 496 nt
Filed under: uncultured bacterium
Lineage: Bacteria
Description: bacterial SSU rRNA
Rfam family: Bacterial small subunit ribosomal RNA
Source: RNAcentral
GAUGAACGCUAGCGGCAGGCCUAACACAUGCAAGUCGAGGGGUAUAGGGAGCUUGCUUCCUAGAGACCGGCGCACGGGUGCGUAACGCGUAUGCAAUCUACCUUGUACAGGGGAAUAGCCCAGAGAAAUUUGGAUUAAUGCCCCAUAGUAUUAUUAAAUGGCAUCCUUUAAUAAUUAAAGUUCCAACGGUACAAGAUGAGCAUGCGUCCUAUUAGUUAGUUGGUGUGGUAACGGCAUACCAAGACGAUGAUAGGUAGGGGUCCUGAGAGGGAGAUCCCCCACACUGGUACUGAGACACGGACCAGACUCCUACGGGAGGCAGCAGUGAGGAAUAUUGGACAAUGGGCGCAAGCCUGAUCCAGCCAUGCCGCGUGCAGGAAGACGGUCCUAUGGAUUGUAAACUGCUUUUUAUACAGGAAGAAACACUGGUUCGCGAACCAGCUUGACGGUACUGUAAGAAUAAGGAUCGGCUAACUCGUGCCAGCAGCCGCGGUAA